CAGUAGCCACGGUAAUACGAAGGUCCCGAGCGUUGUUCGGAAUCACUGGGCGUAAAGGGAGCGUAGGCGGCGUGGUAAGUCAGAUGUGAAAUCCCGGGGCUCAACCCCGGAACUGCAUCCGAUACUGCCAUGCUAGAGGAUUGGAGAGGUAGCUGGAAUUCUUGGUGUAGCAGUGAAAUGCGUAGAGAUCGGAAGGAACAUCUGUGGCGAAGGCGACUAUCUGGGCCAACACUGACACUGAGGCACGAAAGCGUGGGGAGCAAACAGGAUUAGAUACCCCGGUAGUCCCUGUCUCUUAUAC
This 301-nucleotide ribosomal RNA is filed under the name uncultured bacterium. RNAcentral's name for it is "partial 16S ribosomal RNA". It matches the Rfam family "Bacterial small subunit ribosomal RNA", at positions 509 to 807 of the family's 1533-position model. The record is from RNAcentral.